AGUUAAAUAAUUUACUCCUCGAGGGAAUUACAAAUGAGGCACUGAAGGCGACGGGCGGUGUGCAAGAGCGGGUGAUGAAAGCAUUGGAUAAAGAAAAUGCUCCUAUGCCAGCAAAAAUGGUACGCUUAUAUUAUUAGUAUC
Molecule: long non-coding RNA, 141 nt
Organism: Cydia splendana
Lineage: Eukaryota; Metazoa; Arthropoda; Insecta; Lepidoptera; Tortricidae
Exons: 3
Source: RefSeq, a predicted model, not a curated record